ACGCUCGACACCUACUGGAGGCAGCAGUGAGGAAUAUUGGUCAAUGGACGCAAGUCUGAACCAGCCAUGCCGCGUGCAGGAUGACGGCUCUAUGAGUUGUCAACUGCUUUUGUACGAGGGUAAACGCAGAUACGUGUAUCUGUCUGAAAGUAUCGUACGAAUAAGGAUCGGCUAACUCCGCGCCAGCAGCCGCGGUAAUCUGAGCGGGCUGGCAAGGC
Molecule: ribosomal RNA, 218 nt
Filed under: uncultured bacterium
Lineage: Bacteria
Description: partial 16S ribosomal RNA
Rfam family: Bacterial small subunit ribosomal RNA
Source: RNAcentral